Molecule: ribosomal RNA, 856 nt
Filed under: Salmonella enterica subsp. enterica serovar Wien
Lineage: Bacteria; Pseudomonadati; Pseudomonadota; Gammaproteobacteria; Enterobacterales; Enterobacteriaceae
Description: partial 23S ribosomal RNA
Rfam family: Bacterial large subunit ribosomal RNA
Source: RNAcentral
GGGUUGUGAGGUUAAGCGACUAAGCGUACACGGUGGAUGCCCUGGCAGUCAGAGGCGAUGAAGGACGUGCUAAUCUGCGAUAAGCGCCGGUAAGGUGAUAUGAACCGUUAUAACCGGCGAUUUCCGAAUGGGGAAACCCAGUGUGACUCGUCACACUAUCAUUAACUGAAUCCAUAGGUUAAUGAGGCGAACCGGGGGAACUGAAACAUCUAAGUACCCCGAGGAAAAGAAAUCAACCGAGAUUCCCCCAGUAGCGGCGAGCGAACGGGGAGGAGCCCAGAGCCUGAAUCAGCAUGUGUGUUAGUGGAAGCGUCUGGAAAGGCGCGCGAUACAGGGUGACAGCCCCGUACACAAAAGCGCAUAUGCUGUGAGCUCGAUGAGUAGGGCGGGACACGUGGUAUCCUGUCUGAAUAUGGGGGGACCAUCCUCCAAGGCUAAAUACUCCUGACUGACCGAUAGUGAACCAGUACCGUGAGGGAAAGGCGAAAAGAACCCCGGCGAGGGGAGUGAAAAAGAACCUGAAACCGUGUACGUACAAGCAGUGGGAGCACAGGUUUACCUGUGUGACUGCGUACCUUUUGUAUAAUGGGUCAGCGACUUAUAUUCUGUAGCAAGGUUAACCGAAUAGGGGAGCCGGAGGGAAACCGAGUCUUAAUUGGGCGUUAAGUUGCAGGGUAUAGACCCGAAACCCGGUGAUCUAGCCAUGGGCAGGUUGAAGGUUGGGUAACACUAACUGGAGGACCGAACCGACUAAUGUUGAAAAAUUAGCGGAUGACCUGUGGCUGGGGGUGAAAGGCCAAUCAAACCGGGAGAUAGCUGGUUCUCCCCGAAAGCUAUUUAGGUAGCGCCUCGUGAA